Molecule: long non-coding RNA, 356 nt
Organism: Salarias fasciatus (jewelled blenny)
Lineage: Eukaryota; Metazoa; Chordata; Actinopteri; Blenniiformes; Blenniidae
Exons: 2
Source: RefSeq, a predicted model, not a curated record
CAGAACACCUGUAGAACACCUGCAGAACACCUGUAGAACACCUGUAGAACACCUGUAGAACACCAGCAGAGCCCGGUAUCAUGAGUGGGAAGUCCUGAAAGUCCUGAAGGUCGUGGAGGUCAGGGGUCAAAGGGACGAGCCAUGAGAACCGGAACUGUCACUACGCAUGUGGACCGGUGACGGAAAUGAUGGAUCAGCUGCCGUUUACCAGUCCUGCUCAGUCUGAGAAGACAUCAGGUACCCCAGAGCUAACAGCUAGCGAGAAGACAUCAGGUACCACAGAGCUAACAGCUAGCGAGAAGACAUCAGGUACCACAGAGCUAACAGCUAGCGAGAAGACAUCAGGUACCACAGAG